This 207-nucleotide ribosomal RNA is filed under the name uncultured bacterium. RNAcentral describes it as "partial 16S ribosomal RNA". It matches the Rfam family "Bacterial small subunit ribosomal RNA", at positions 568 to 774 of the family's 1533-position model. The record is from RNAcentral.
CUCGUAGGCGGUUCGUCGCGUCCGGUGUGAAAGUCCAUCGCUUAACGGUGGAUCCGCGCCGGGUACGGGCGGGCUUGAGUGCGGUAGGGGAGACUGGAGUUCCCGGUGUAACGGUGGAAUGUGUAGAUAUCGGGAAGAACACCAAUGGCGAAGGCAGGUCUCUGGGCCGUUACUGACGCUGAGGAGCGAAAGCGUGGGGAGCGAACA